This is a long non-coding RNA of Hypanus sabinus (Atlantic stingray), 346 nucleotides long. RefSeq lists it as uncharacterized. NCBI's taxonomy places the organism in Eukaryota, Metazoa, Chordata, Chondrichthyes, Myliobatiformes, Dasyatidae. The transcript has 3 exons. The record is from RefSeq and is a predicted model, not a curated record.
CUGGAAAAUCGGCGGCAGGUCUCGGUCGCCCUGACCCUUGCCUGGUGAAGUGCCGUCCAAGUAUCCAUCCUCGUUUUGGGUCAUUUUCACUGAUUUCAAACGGUUGCUGGAGUACACCACCCUGCAGUGCGUACAGGUGAAUGGUCGAAACCAAAGAGGGACCACCACAAGACGGAGCUAUCGAGCUUCAGAGGAGGAGGGCAUCAGCCCAGAAGGAUGUGGUUACAAAUGAAAGAUCAGCAAAAUUUGGAACCGUGGUUUACUGAAAAAAUAAUGAAGUUUAUUUCUGAAAAACGCUGAGCAUCUGUGUAGAGGAAUACGUACACAACGCUGGAAGAACUCAGUA